Hyalella azteca is the source of this 1150-nucleotide long non-coding RNA. RefSeq lists it as uncharacterized. The transcript has 4 exons. The record is from RefSeq and is a predicted model, not a curated record. Lineage: Eukaryota; Metazoa; Arthropoda; Malacostraca; Amphipoda; Hyalellidae.
UUCUCCGGGAAGUUGAAUCUGGCCAUACUAUAUUAUAAAUGCAAUAUGUUUGAGCAUGGGACAUGAAGUAACCUGCAGUCUGAAUGGCAAUAUGUCUAAUUUCAAAAUAGAUCAAAUUUACAGAUCAUGAUGGGUGCCAGUGGCAAGUGGCUGGCUUGGGUGGCAGCUGCAGGUCAAAUAUGGAUGAUGUUCUGCGAAUCCGUGUUCCUUCUGCUGCUGGUGUUGAUGUCACGAGGCUGAUCGGAGACGGCUGCCACAGUUUUGUGCUGAGGACGAGAUGCUGGCGUACCUGAGCAAGUUUGGGUGCGCCUUCAGCAGCAAGCGGUGCGCCUUCAGCGACGUGCGUCGCUUCCUGCUGUUGCUUCCCAGUGACAGCGUUGAGGCACCAAGCCCAAACUCAAGGAUUGCGUGAAUCUUGAUGACAAUGGAUCCUAUUGGUACUGGCGAGCCGAUGAUCCAGCCGUACAGAUGCGGCUCCCUGACGCGCAUUCCCGAGUUCAGAGAGCGGCUCGAGCGCUCGGUGCACUUCGGACAGCGCUGCCACCGUCGUCCUCAUCAACACUCGAGCCUUGUUCCUGGACCACGCGCAGCAGGUCGAUGUUUUUCAGCUUUGCGUUUUUCAUGCUCUCAUGUCAUCACCUGAAAUAUUUUCGAGAUCUUGUGUGUUUUGGAAUAUGUGCUUCUUCACUAAUAAUGCUUGGUUUUCUGUUGCUUUUGUGUGACUGAUCAUUUUUAACUAGCUAGUACAUUGGUUUUCUCAUCAUGGAAAAUAGAUGCGCCCUCUCAGGUAAGCGUCUAACAACUUUAUUGUGCUUUUGAACUUAGUUUUAGCUCGUCGCGUUGCCAAAUGUCUUUUUUAUAUUGUCGCACUCAUAAACUUGUAUUAUUGUGUUCAUAAACUUGUAUUAUUGUGUGCUCUUGACUUGCAGUUGGAGUGGAUUUUUCCUCGUACAUCGCGUGGUUGGAAGCCCUGCAGCCCGUUCUACAGAAGAAGAAACUUAAAUAAAGACGUUCAAGCGUUUAACCUUUGUCUAUUCUAACCUUUUUAUUUUUUUUAACGUUUUUCCAAGUAGCGGUGUAACAGCAAACUGUUAGCAUUCCAGAAUUUUAGCUAAAUUUGUAUUUUCCAGAAUUUGAUUCCCGAGAUCGA